Molecule: long non-coding RNA, 827 nt
Organism: Talpa occidentalis (Iberian mole)
Lineage: Eukaryota; Metazoa; Chordata; Mammalia; Eulipotyphla; Talpidae
Exons: 4
Source: RefSeq, a predicted model, not a curated record
CGCCAGACGUUCGCAGCUGCAGCACCGAGCAAAGUUAUCAUUUUAGAAUUCAGGCGAGAGGAAUUCGUCAUUCUACCAAGAGAGAAACUCGCUCACUGACCUGGGCGUGCGGCCCACAGAAACACAGAAAACGGAAACGAGCCCUCUAAUCUUAGUUACCUUUAAGAGAGGCCUUAAUUUCCUUUCACCAGGUUUCCAAUGGAGCUACCCAGGAGAGAUCGCUGUUACCAGUAAUUGCCCUGGAGGGUGCCAGUGAGUCGGAUCAAUCCUGCCACAUAGUAACUGGCAUUUUAUACAUUGCUUAGUCUUUUGAACGGCUCUUCCUUCUCAGAGAAAAGAAGCUGCUCUUCUGGGGAGGCCCCAUCAUCAUGGGUGCUUGGUUCUUGCUGGAGAUUGAGAAGUGGAAAUCUUUUUGUUUUGUGGUCACCAGAGAAGCAAACCAAUAAUCCAUGAAACACCAUUUUGUGUUAUAUUCCUAUAGGCAUUGUGUUUCUUCCUGAAUUCAUGGGAGAGGCAUAGACUGGGAAUUCUCACAGUAUUUAUCUUUGCACGUGAUUUUGCAUUAUCUGAUGAUUGUUUGGUCAUUGUACUAGCCCUUCUUUCUUUCCUAAGCGUAUGAGCCCCAUGUUGAAAAGGACUUCAUCUUCUUCCCUGGGCCAGCACAGUGCCCAUUCAGAGUUCAUGCUAUAGAUGGACCAACUGAUUAGCACAACCAAGAGGAGAGAAGGCAUGUUGUGGAAGAGAUGGCUGUGUUUGGGGCAGACAGCAGCUGUUAACUUUGGGAAUUUUUUUUUUCCAGUUUGUUUCUAUGCCUACAUGUUUUUAAU